CUUCUUUACGUUUUUUUUAUUUGCAUUUAAUUUACUUUGCAAAUUUGGAAGGAUGAGGAGUUGUCUAACGGGCUCUGCCGAAUUCAACUUCUUAUUUCCCCACUACGUUGAUUUUAUUUACUUUAUGUUUAAUUAUUUUCUUGCAUUUUGAAAGGAUGAGAACUUGACUAACUGACUAUGCCGAUUCAUCUUCUUAUUUCCCCAAUCUGUUUAUUUAUUCUACGUUCAUUCUCUCCUUGCAUACUCCCUUUUAUGUUUAUUCAAUUUUCUGUGUACUAUAAUCCUUUUCGUAUAUUCUAUCUGUCUGUUAUUAUUGGUUUAGCUGAUCUUGAAUAUAUUUUCUUUAUUUUCCAUCUUUUGAAUAUUAGGCGUUUAAUCGGUAAAAAGUUUAAGUAAUGAAAUUUAUAUAGUUAGGAUAUGAAUCUUUGAUGUUUGAGAAUAUUUUUAGGAUCUGUGAAGAUUAAGAAUGAGUUCUGGAUGUUUAGAAAGGUUGUACGAUGAAAGGAAUAGUUCGUACAGUNCGAAAAGUGAAUUUUCGUGAUUCUAGAAUGACGAACUCGCUGAAGCGAGUUACGCGCGGCAGAUUUAGUGUUUUUGAUGAUCUUGACGUUUUGGGAGUUCUAGAUGUCCGUUUUGGACGUUCUUUAGGUUGUUCUGGGGGUUUUUGACCCUUCCGGAGCCAUUGGUAAUGGUCUCCAAGCUGUUUGAGGUACUAAAGUGUUCGGAUUAAUAACCCAUGAAGUUAAUUANGAUAGUAUGUGACGUUUUCUGAAAUGUCUGAGUAUGUAUGAAUUAUUCCUGUUGAUGUGAAUAAAGAUUGGAAUGUAUUGAANGUAUGAUUUGUGAAUGGAAAGUGUGGAAUAGAGUUCCAGAGAGGAACUCCUGUGGACUGUAUGUUGAAUGUUGUAUGUGUGAAUAUAAGAGCUCAGAUCUAGGGGUUCAUUCNAAGACUCUCAAUAGUUUUGAUCUCACGUGGUGAGAUAGCUAUGCGGUGGAGAGUGGGAAGUCCUUACCGAAGAUCCAUUUUAAUGGACAGAGUAGGAAGGAUGUAGCUUCAGUGGUUGUAUCUAUAUCCGAAGAUCCAGUUAGGGGACAGAGUAGGAUAAGAGUAUUGAGCUAGCAAUUAAAUACAUCCUUAUCUGAAGAUCCAUUUUGAGGGGACAGAGUAGGAUANGAUGUAGUUGUGUAAGGUACCACUGUAAGUGUUGAACCUGCUAGGAGUUCGAUACUCACAUGAAUGUUUGGAUGAGUUGAGUGUAUGAUGAUUAUGGUAUGUUUAUUUUCUUAUUGAGAAAUUGUUAUGCGAGAAGGAAGUAUGUUAUUAAUUUAAAUAUACCAUGUGUUUUCUAUUGUAUUAGCUCACCCUUGCUUUGUUUGUUGUUUGGUCGUUAUUGUAUGUUAUGUGUUAAAUCUCGGCGAUGAUCAUCCGGUGGGUGUGAGCAGAAGAUGAUGAAAUACCGGUGGAGCAGGCAUUAGAUGGAGAACCGACUGGAGUUUAGUCAAUAUGGAAGUGACUUUGUAUUAUAUGUUCUUAAGUAGGAAUUGUNUUAAGAUAUAUUUCCAGGGUUGAUUUGUAUAAUAAUGAGGAAAACU
This 1593-nucleotide long non-coding RNA is filed under the name Vigna radiata. Its description in RNAcentral is "long non-coding RNA (VRAD_LNC005550)". Lineage: Eukaryota; Viridiplantae; Streptophyta; Magnoliopsida; Fabales; Fabaceae. The record is from RNAcentral.